This 375-nucleotide ribosomal RNA is filed under the name uncultured Glomus. RNAcentral's name for it is "SSU rRNA". It matches the Rfam family "Eukaryotic small subunit ribosomal RNA", at positions 569 to 952 of the family's 1831-position model. The record is from RNAcentral. Lineage: Eukaryota; Fungi; Glomeromycota; Glomeromycetes; Glomerales; Glomeraceae.
AGCAGCCGUGGUAAUUCCAGCUCCAAUAGCGUAUAUUAAAGUUGUUGCAGUUAAAAAGCUCGUAGUUGAAUUUCGGGACUAAUAUGUCGGUCGUACUUUGUACGUACUAGCAUUAUUGGUUUCUCCCUUCUGACGAACCACGAUGUCAUUAAUUUGGUGUCAUGGGAAAUCAGGACUGUUACUUUGAAAAAUUAGAGUGUUUAAAGCAAGCUCGCGCUUGAAUACAUUAGCAUGGAAUAAUGAAAUAGGACGUUUGAUUCUAUUUUGUUGGUUUCUAGGAUCGACGUAAUGAUUAAUAGGGAUAGUUGGGGCAUUAGUAUUCAAUUGUCAGAGGUGAAAUUCUUGGAUUUAUUGAAGACUAACUACUGCGAAAGC